RNAcentral lists this ribosomal RNA (761 nucleotides) under Onchocleidus sp. XJD-2004. RNAcentral's name for it is "partial 28S ribosomal RNA". It matches the Rfam family "Eukaryotic large subunit ribosomal RNA", at positions 83 to 605 of the family's 3401-position model. Lineage: Eukaryota; Metazoa; Platyhelminthes; Monogenea; Dactylogyridea; Ancyrocephalidae. The record is from RNAcentral.
GUAACGGCGAGUGAACGGAGAUUAGCCCAGCACCGAAGCCUAUCCGCGUUUGUGGACAAGGCAAUGUGGUGUUUAGGCGUGCCCCUGGAGCCAUUCGUCUACUCGAAGUCCAACUCCGAUUAUGGCAUUGGAUCUGUCCCAAAGAGGGUGAAAGGCCCGUACGAGUAGACAUGCAGCAUUGAUUGAAUGGUUCUCAGAUGAGCGCGUCUUGGAGUCGGAUUGCUUGAGAAUGCAGUCCAAAGUGGGUGGUAAACUCCAUCCAAGGCUAAAUACUGGCACGAGUCCGAUAGUAAACAAGUACCGUGAGGGAAAGUUGAAAAGUACUCUGAAGAGAGAGUAAAUAGUACGUGAAGCUGCCUGUAGAGAAGCUGGUGGAGUCAAGCUCCAUGCUCGGCUGAUUAACAAUGAGAGACCAGUUGAUGUUCGGCCCUGCAGUCGAUUAGCCUGGAAAUGGCUAGACGGACCUCAAAUCCGUCGGAGACAUUCCGGUUAGUGUGUUUGUUGUUGACUGUGCGGGGUCGGUCUCUUGUGUUCUAUCAUCGAGCAGCCACCAUGGUGGAUAUGCGCUUGGUGCGUGGUCGUCAAACUGUGCUUAUGUCGGUCCAAAGCUGGCUGGGUACAGGAUGGCAGGUGGUGUCUUGGCAGUCUCUGCUCAAGGCGCUUAUAACGGUUCUCUGGCCGGUGACCAUGCUAACAUUACUAUUGCGCGUAUCCUGCAAGGCAAGGCGUCUCCAUGCAAACUGGUAGCGUCUGCAGAGCCA